Molecule: long non-coding RNA, 587 nt
Organism: Oncorhynchus keta (chum salmon)
Lineage: Eukaryota; Metazoa; Chordata; Actinopteri; Salmoniformes; Salmonidae
Exons: 3
Source: RefSeq, a predicted model, not a curated record
AUGAAAACGACCAAUUUGGGUGCAAUCCAAUAGUUUAGCCCUUCACACUCGUACCCGUAUACUGUAUGGGUUGAAAAUAGCAGAUUUGGGCACUAAUAAGCGCCUGAAUUGGACUGUUGUGGCUGUUCAGUAACAUGAUAUACAUCACGUCGGAGUUCUGGCUCUGCGCUUCACAGCGCUUGUAUGCGUUUUGACAGACAGACAUUCUGAAUUUGAGCACCGCGCGCGACAAGAAGUUGCCCCAUCCCUCUCUGCAAAAUGUUUGUUGUCUGAGCGAGGGAAAAGCAGUAAAUUGGGAGGACUCGAUGGAUUUUGAAAGAUGAGACGUUGAGGAUUAUAAUACAUGUCGCUUAGAUGUCAUACAGGCAAGCCAAAACCCUUACUGCAGAGGCCUCCCAGGUCUAUCACUCUAUCGCUCCUCUCUACCACUGGACAAAAUUCUAAGCCGGCCAUGCCCCCUAGGUAGACCGGGCUCUCUGCAGCCAGCCGGAGGUCCGGCCGCUGGGACAGGUGGAAGAUCUUUGGAGGGGGGAACGUGUCCCAAUCCCCCUCCUCUCUCUCCAGCCAGCACUCACUACGCCGAGAAG